AUGGCAAGCAUCAGCGCCACGGCCGUCUUCGUCGCCGCCGGACCGCCACGGUCUCUAUGGCUGCCUCGGCUGAGUGUGGCCAAGGCCGCGAGGCUGAGGUGCAGCUGCUCCAAGGACCUCAAGAAGAAGGCUUCUUCGGCCCUGGCUAUGGCGGUGGUCAAGGGCGCGCCGCUGCUCGCUGAGGCGAGCGCCAUGGCGGUGGCGGCAGCCCCGGUGCUGGCCCCGGCGCUGGUUCUGGCGCUGGUGGACGAGCGGGUGUCGACCUACGGCACCGGGCUGAGCCACGACCUGCUGGGGUGGAUCCUGAUGGUUGCCUUCGGCCUCGCCUUGUCCUACACCGUCUACUCCUCCAUCCUCCAAGACGACAACGACGACGACCAGUCCACCGCCGGCGGCAUCACGAUCUGA
This 408-nucleotide ribosomal RNA is filed under the name Triticum aestivum (bread wheat). Its description in RNAcentral is "partial small subunit ribosomal RNA". The record is from RNAcentral. Lineage: Eukaryota; Viridiplantae; Streptophyta; Magnoliopsida; Poales; Poaceae.